Spodoptera frugiperda (fall armyworm) is the source of this 721-nucleotide RNA transcript. It is a transcript of the gene named keratin-associated protein 9-9-like, with no coding region annotated. NCBI's taxonomy places the organism in Eukaryota, Metazoa, Arthropoda, Insecta, Lepidoptera, Noctuidae. The record is from RefSeq and is a predicted model, not a curated record. The transcript has 19 exons.
UAUCCACAUUUGAGUGGGUCACUUCGAAACUAAUUAAUUCGUUUUGGUUAGCAGACACGCAUUUCCAAGAUUGGGUGAUCGUGUUCAAUAAUGAAUUAUCGUGUUGUUUGUGUAUUGAUACUAGAAUAUUUAUAUUUGAUUACUGUUCUCUUUGGUGAAAAUCCUCCUGGCACCAAAGUGCAAUAUGCUUCAAUAAACUGUACAGCCAAGUGCAAAGGAACUAAGUGUCAUGCAAACUGUUCGGGUAUGAUGGCAUCUGCUGCGGCCGUUGGCUUCAAUUCAACUUCAAUUACGGUUGGGGAUUUGUCCACAGUGGAGUGCUAUGGACCAUUCUGCACAGCUGCCUGCGACGGUAUGACAAACGUCUGUAUGUCAAAAUGUAUCGGACGCAGUUGUGAAACACUUUGUCGUUCUACUGCCUGCCUCACAUUUGGAAUGGGGACCGUUGCAACCUCCAGUUGUGUAGGCCAUAGAUGUUUUGCAAAUUGUACAGGUGAAGGUUGCAUAUCGCUGUGUGAAGGGACAAGCUGUGCGUCUGAGUGUCAUGCAAUAAGGUGCCAAGCUCAUUAAAACAGUAACUACUUGUAAUUAAUUUAGUGUGCUGGUGCUGAUUGCGAUUCAAGGUGUACUGGACGACUUUGUAAACAAACCUCGUCAUGAAUGGAAAAUAAUGAUGAAGAAUAGCCUUAAUGAAAUGAAUUAAUGAAAUGAUUUAUGCAUU